AAGAAAUUUUUUUACUAAUCUUUUUACCUUGAAUCUUUUUUCAAUCAUGGAAACCUUAUGAACGCAACUUUUUCCAGUCAAAUAUUUGAUCUUCUUGCGCUCUCUUUCCUACUGUUUCAUCUCUUAGUCUGCAUUGAGCUGCUGCAGUGUCAGCAAAAUUUGCCAGAGACGUUCCGUGAAGAAGCGAUCGACAAGAUUCCUUUUGGCGAUCAGAAUUCAGACGACUUUGAUGAUUAUGAAGAACUUUGGUUGUUGCGGCUAUUUUUCUUCCCACUUAUGAUUGUUCGUUCAUUCCGUUCCUCCUCAGCUUCUUCGCAAUGAACUUGAGGAGAUGGGCCCCAGUGGUUCUAUGUGCUGAUCCUCCAAUAUCUGUUGCUAGUGUCAGCUGCAAAGCAACAACAAUAAUUAGCAAAAUCAUUACGCAGGAAAGUAGAAACUAUUUUCUAUAUUAGGUAAAUUUAUUUUUUGCAUAUAAAAGCUUCAUCUGUAGUGCUUAUUUCCCCCCCAAAAAAAAAAGCAAGAAGAAGGAGAAGAAGUAGAAGAAGAAAAAAAGCUACAACUUUUGUAUUCAAAUAGAUGAAAUAAUGCCACUCAAAGGAGAAAAUCACAUGGUUUUCAUAUAAGUUUAUUUGGCUAAGAUUUACUACCAUGUGAGAGAUGAUAGAACUUCAUGACUUCAAUCAAUAAUUUGUGUUGCAUUUAAUUUCAACAUGAUAUAGUCGCAUAAAUUAUUAGCCCCCUUGUUCAGUACUCCAGCCAUCUAUCUGUAAUUUUUUGUUGAGUGGUUUCAGACCUGAAGGAAAUAUCUGAUUGUAUGCAUUCUGGUUGCAUCUAUGUGAAAGUUGGUUCUUUGUUGAGAGGUUUCAAAAACAGAAAUAGAAAGUUUUCAGAACCAAUGGAUUAUGGAGUACCAAAGGUGGUCGCCUGUGUUGUAAAUUUCAUUGGGUGAUAUGUAUGGCACUGAUUAGUGGAAAUGGUCUGGAAGCUACUAAGCACCAUUCCCCCUUUAUUUCUGAUGCAGAUGCUGGAACUCUUGACCAGUGGCAUAUUUCUCUUCUUCCAGUUUCCUUUUGCUUUUAUACUAUUUUGUGAAUGGUGGUGCUGAACAAAUAUAAAAUAAUAACAAAAGAAAGAUAAGAUAUGAUAGAGUUUCGAGAUAAUGGGUGAUUUGGGAAGAUAUAUAUUGUAAAUAAAUAUUAUUUUUAAUUUAUUUUAGAUAUUUUCUAUUUAAUAAUAUUUUUUAAUUUUUUUAGAUUUUAUAUAGAUAUUUAGAUAUUUAUUUAGAUAUCUAUAUAUUUAUCCAGAUAUAUAAUAAUUUUAUAUAGAUAUAUAGAUUUUAUUCAAAUAUUUAUUUCUUUAGAUUUUAUUUAGUAUUUUAUAUAGGUAUAGAUUCUAGGAGAUUUUAUCCAAUUUCAUUUAAUUAUCUAGUUAUCAAGAUUUUAUUCAUUAUUUUAGAUUGUAUUUAGCAUUAUAAAUACGCUUAGCAACUUAGAAGUAUAGAAUGAUAUCCUUUGGAUAUCAUUAUAUCAUGGAAAAAACAGACUUUUGAAACUUUUGGCCCUUUGGAUAUUCUCUUAAGCGUGAUUAUUGAAAAAAGUAUAGAAUGAUAUCCUUGUGUUAUAUCAUCUUGAUGGAUUUGUUUCUUCUAUUUUCUUCUACCAGUUCUAUGUUAACUUAUUAAUAUUAUGAAGUUAGAUUCUGAUUUUAUAUGUUAAUAAAGAUUUAUCUUCCUUAUUUUUCUCUAUCCAUCUUAGAUCCUAUCAUUUGGCAUCAAAGCCGUUUGAUCCAAAGAUGGUACCUACCUAUUCCACAUGCCUUUUUCACAAAUUCACAUUUUCACCACCUAUCCCAUCCUAUUAUCAUCCAUCUUCUAGAAACACAUUUUCCCAAGUAUAAUGGUGGAGAUCCACAACCAUGGAUUUUAGAGGCAAAAAAUUAUUUUCAAUAUUAUCACACUUUUGAAGACUUCAAAGUUGAUAUUGCAAUGAGGCAUUUAGAGGGAGACGCUCAUGUUUUCUUCACUUCUAUUAACACGGAACAUACAAUUCUCUAUUGGGAAGAAUUAGUGGAGUUGUUACUAGAAAAUUAUGAGCCUCUAAAAUUUCAGAACCCAGAUGAGUUCUUAUGAAGCAUCGAGCAAACUGGUUCUGUGCAGGAGUAUCGGUUAGAAUUCGUUAGGCACUUUGCUUAUGUGAAGAAUUGGCUAGAACAUUGCCUCUUGGAAGUCUUCAUCAAAGGCCUCAAGGACAAGCUCAAAUCUGAUGUUCGGAUUCAUAAACCUAAGACAGUUUAUCGGGCUGUUAGUUUGGCCCUUGAAUGAGUUAAAAGUCCAAAAUUUUUGCAGGCUCAAAACUGCCCAGCAGUCCCUUUGUUUCCUUCAGUCUCUUAUCAAACAGCACGUGACUUUAAAGAGACAUCAGCAUCGACUUCAAACUCGUUUCGUCACAAGCCAACAUCUAAAAUGGCUUCCAUGGAAGCCAAAUAGCAGCGACAACAAGAGAUGGGAAUGUGUUUCAGCUGUGGUGAGACUAUCAAACCUGGGCAUCACUGCAAGGGAUCUUUUUCACUGCUGGAAAUUACUGAGGAGGGAGAAGAAAUUAUUCCUUCCCUUGAAGAGGACAAAAUCAUGGAGAUGGAACCUAGUGGGGUUGAAAUUUCCCUCAAUGCUAUUCUAGAUAGCAACAACAUCUCUGCAAAGAAGCUUUAAAGGAGCUUCUUUGAAUGCCAGGUUGAACUUGGUGGAUAGUAGGUCUAACUACAACUUUUUCCUUGAAGUUCCCAUGCAGCCUCUUCUUUGACCUUUUGGAAUCCACAUUGGACAUACUGCUAUUUAUCUAUUACUCCGAUCUCAACCUCUAGAGAGACAAGAAAGCUUUUGCCUAUAUCUUGCCUUGAGGACUAGGCGAAUUUUCAAGGGGGGAGUAUUGAUAGAGUUUCAAGAUAAUGAGUGAUCUGGGAAGAUAGAUAUUAUACAUAAAUAUUAUUUUUAAUUUACUUUAGAUAUUUUCUAUUUAAUAAUUGUUUAAAUUUUAUUUAGGUGUUUUGUUAUUUAGAUUUUAUAUAGAUAUUUAGAUAUUUAUAUAUUUAUCCAGAUAUCUAGUUAUUUAGAUUUUAUUCAAAUAUUUAUUUCUUUAGAUUUUAUUUAGUAUUUUAUAUAGAUAAAUAUUUUAGAAGAUUUUAUUCAAUUUUAUUUAAUUAUUUAGUUAUCUAGAUUUUAUUCAUUAUUUUAGAUUGUAUUUACCAUUAGAAAUUUGCUUAGCAACUUAGAAGCAAGCAUAUCAUGAAAAAAAAAAAACAGACUUUUGAGACUUUUAGUCUUUUGGAGAUUUUCCUAAACAUGGCUAUCAAGAGAAAUAUAGAAUGAGAUUUUUGUUUUAUAUCAUCUUGAUGGAUUUGUUUCUUCUAUUUUCUUCUAUCAGUUCUAUGUUAUCUUAUUAAUAUCAUGAAGUUAGAUUUUGAUUUCAUAUGUUAAUAGAGAUUUAUCUUCCUUAUCUCUCUCUACCCAUCUUGGAUCCUAUCAAGAUAUGCCCCCCUGAAAGUAAAAUAUUUCCCAGGAGUUUUAUGGCAUGAACAUGAAUAGCUUGACAAUUAACCUAGACUCGGACUUGAGAAAGUAAAUGAGCUUUCAGCAGUUAGAAACUUUUGGCCCUUUAUUUUAUUUGAAAGACCACAGACAGUUUUCUGAUUCUGCCAAUGUAUCCAUAUUAAUAUGGCUUGGGAAACUUUUGGUCUCCAAUCUCCUCUUCUCGCCAUAAAAAUUAGAGUUAUAGGGCUUGUUUGGCAACUUAUUCUGAAAAUAGUUUUUUAUUCUCUAAAAUAAAAAAACUAAAAAAAUGUGUUCAGUAAUGUAUUUUUAGAAAGUGUUUUGGAGGAAAAAAAACCAAAUAUUUCUUUGGAAAAUAAAAAAAAUGAAAAUUUCUUUUAGGUGUUUUAGAAUUAUUGUUUUGGAGAACAAAUGAGAAUACAAAAAGUACCUAUUUUCAUUUUUUCCCUUAAAACGUGUUUUACAAAACAUUAGUUCUAAGAAUAAUAAAACAAAAACAGUUUCAAAUAAGCCCAUAUAUUAUAGCUAGUUAAUAUGUUUCCCACAUUUUUAUUUCUUUAACAUCAGUAUAAAUAUAAAGCAUAAACACAGAUGCCAACUUUGAAGGUUUUAUAACUGCUCUAAACCCAUCUCUUAUCUUUUUUGAAGUUAUAUCCAUUAAUUCAGCAAUAAAGAUGUUGCACAAAAUGCUUAUUGAAAAAAAAAAAAGAAUGUUACACAAAAUGAUAAAAAGUAUGUGAGAGGAUUAGCACAACUGAAAACUGAUAAUUGAAUUUUUCUUUAAAAAAAAAAUCAAAAGUGAAUAGGACUAGCAGUUUGCUGGGUUGUGUGCAGAGUGUAAUAGUUAUUUUUAAUGUUCUUAUUUGUUCAUAAUAAGAUUUUAUAGACAUAACAAGGGUAGAAAACAAGAAAGACUCCCCCCCUCCCCAAAAAAAAAAAUCCUUAAGACACCGUUUUAUCAUAAUAGUUUCUCUGGGAAAGUAAAUUAUCAGUCUAUUAUUUCAUCUUUACUACAGUUGCUGAAGUUCCUGAACUUCUGAUUUUCUAUUUUCCCCAAAUUUUGCUACAUUAGUCCCACUGAUAUGGUAGCAAUAUAUUUUUUCUUUAUUGCUGUAAGAAUUGUCACUCGAAGUCAGUCAUGAAUUGCUGUAGAUUAAUAGACUGAUAUCAUUUUCAGCAUUUUGAUGGAGAACAAUAUUUUAUAGUGAGCGUUCACUCUCUUCUUAUGUGUUAACUGCUGAUUUGUUUUUAAAUAGAUUUGUUUUUUUAAUGAUUGAUGCAUAUAUUUUCAUAGACGUAUAUGGUUCUAAUUCUUGUUAAUAACUCGCUCCAUUAAAGAAUAUACAAGGGCAGAUAUGUUUACAAACUUAAUAUAUACAUUCAGUCUAGUGAUGAUAAUGUUUACGGAUCCUUUGGCAACUCUAAUAAUUCAUGUCUGAAGUAUUGAUCCCUUUUGUUGACCAAAUAUCAGCCAGACCUUCUAACUCUUAGCAAAUAAGACAUGUUUGGAAUAUGACGAGGGCCUCUUCUUUAUCAUAUUUAAUAAAAUAUGGCUGUCGUCAUGAGUAGGCUGUUGCUUUCUGAAAUAUUUGUUGGCCUGGAGCAAGUAUUGCCAAUGGGUCAAAAACAGAUUUUCUCUUCAGAAAAAGCUCCCACUUGGGACCAAAGUGGCCCCUCCAUCCUUCUCGUGUAGUGUAAUGGGGAAGAUAUUGCUUAACCCUAAUACGGGCUCUUUCACAGUAUUCUAAAAUUCUUUUAUUCUGAGUUAAAAUGUAUUCUAGGCCAUCAGGUCCAUUGGAAGAGGGGACUGCAGAGGUAAGAAAUGCCACCAAAUAGAAAAUAUCUUCCUCUGGAAUAACAACAGAAGUUUUAUUGUCCCACCUGUAAGUACCAUCAAAUGUUAAUACCAUAUCAAGGCCAAAGUAUCGGUAGAGAGAAAAUUGUGUUAUGAACCAUUACUUUGAUUUAUUUACUGGGUAGAUCAGGACAGGGCCAUUGCUUGUUUCUGUUAGAAUAUUUCCAAAGACAACUUCUGCAAAUUUGUGUAUUUGGCUUUUAGGGAUAAAAAGAUUGAGCCAUGGGUGUGGAACAUCCCACAAGCCUUUUGACCGCAACUUGACCUCAGAGACAUGAACCCUGUCUAAGAAAUCUACAUAUGUGACUUCUGUUAGAAAAAGUGUUGAUGGGAUGUAAUUCAAGUGGGACAAGUGCUUCUCAACUUCCUGCAUAAGAAAAAAAAAAAGAAAUGAAAAAGAAGCAAUCAAAUAAAUAUCAUGGGACAAUGCACCUAGAUUUGUUUUUUCGAAAAGGAAAAAAAGUAAUAACUAUAUUUAUUCAUUUAUGUUAUAUGCAAGAGACCAUUCUUCUGGUUGAGGUGUUGCUUGCCUCACCUGAUUUGCUUCAUCAUUAUCUUCUGGGUCAAAGUAUUUGGCCAAUUCUAGGCAGAAUAGAGUUCUUCCAUCUGAUUUGAACUUGCUAGCUUGAACAGGGUCUUGCGGGUUGAAGGAUGAUCUCCAGUUAUUUAACAGACCAGUUCUGUUUAUUAUCACAAAUCCUUCAAUAUAGUCGAAUGCAUUUUCUGCAAAUAUUAAUAGCUCUUGGUCUCUUGUGAAUGCUGUGAAAUCCGCAUAUAGUACUCUGAUCCACUUUACCUGGUUAAAAUAGAAAUUUCCUGUGAUGACGAUUGAUGCUUUCAAAAUUUUAAAUUGAAUAAGAAGGCUUUGUUUGUGGUAUUGUCACCAAAGCAUUACCAUUGCUGGUGCUGGUUCCAGGGAGAUUCUUGCUCGUGUUAUUAUGCCAAACUGACCAAGGCCCCCAAGUACGCUGUGAAAGAGUUCACUAUUCUGCUCUUGAGAACAGUCUAACACCUCUCCUUUUCCUGCAAUCAUUUACUAACCUUUUAUAAUCAUCCAAGAGGAAGUGUUUCUGUUUUUUCUUUUUAUUUCCAAUCAAACACUUUCCUAUGUCACCAAGGUCUAGUUAUCAAAUGUAUAACAAGGAACCUUGUGAAGCUAUUACGUUUCAAGUGAAUUAUUAGUUCAGAUGGGACAAAACAGAAACUGCGUGACUAGUUUUGUCCCCUCCAUCCCUGACCUUGAUUUUAGUUUUGGUACCAAGUUACGAACCUGUUACAAUCUCCAGCUGCUGAACAUUACUUAUCUGGGGGCCAUGACGAAAUGCCUGCCCGCUGAUACCAGCGUUGGACAGAGUGCCUCCAACAGUCAGGUGCAGGUAGUCUGUCCAUGACUUUGGCGCUAACCCAUAUUUUAGACUUUCAUGCAGGAUGUUUAUCCACAACUCGCCCCCGGAGACGUCCACAUGUGGAUGAGUUCCAGUAUAUACCUGCAUUUCGGGGAUCUUGAUAGAUUCCAUGUUGAUCACAACUCCUUCGUGAGCUUGUGCCUGGCCCUGGAGGGAGUGACCAUGGCCUCUGGCUGCAACAGUUAGUUGUGAGCGAGGACCCAUCUGCCAGAUAUGCUUUAUAGUGGCUGCAAUAUCAGAAGCUGAUUUUGGGUGCAGCACUGCCAUCGGAUGACGUUGAUACCUGUUACCGAAGUCUCGGGCUGCAUGGCUGACAUCAUCAAAAUUGAGAUGUCCUUCAAGGGGAAGUGUUCUUAAGGAAGAAGGGAUGCUGGGAAUGCAGAAGUUAAGCCCAAUGGUUAUACAACUAAGGAACAAGAUCAUGAAGCCUUUGAUAAAUAAGUUGUUACGUUCUCUAGAAAGGCCGAGUUUUGGGAAUGUCAUUUUCAUGUUGGCAGCCAAAGGCAGAAGAAACAGAAGGAGAAGAGGUGAUGGGGGGUGAAGGAGUUCAAAGGGUUGGGCCAGAAUUUAAAGAAGUUAUGGGUGGCUGAGUCCUCAAGUCAAACCAUGUUCAGUUAUGAGAAUCCGUAUGAAGACUGCCUACUACGUAGAAAGAGCUUUUGGGUUCUCGUAUGUUUUCAAAGAGAAGCCGAAGCUAUUAUACAGAAGCCAAUUUGAUGAGGGAAAGUGACAACAAAGAAAGAUUUCACAAAUCUUUCUCACUUUACCGAACAGUUAAAUCUUUCUCACUUUACCAAACAGUUGCAACCACAACACCAUCUUUCCAUCAAGGACAGGCAUGUUUCUAACUUGUACUCAUUAAACCAAUUUUAACCAUGCCCUUUCCCAAUUUAGAAACAAGACCAUGCUUUUUCCCCACAGUGCAGUAUUCCCUAGCCUCUUAAGGACAAGUAUGCCAUACUCCUUCUCCGGUCUGUCUACCUUACACCCACGUAUAAGUUGUUGGUGCUGUUGAAAUCCAUUGUUGUCAGACUGUAAACAUCGCGAAUGCUGCCAUUAGAUUGGAUGAGAAGGACUCUCAGGGUCGGACUCGAUUCAUUCUUGAGGUGAGGAAGAAAUGGAACUGGUGGGGUCUGUGUUGGACCAUGAGGCACGUGAAGUCUUCGUUCAUGUAUGCUUGAUUGGGACUCUGGCCCAUGAUUGAACCCCAUGUAGGACCUUUGCUUGUGGGGUUUGGAUAGAAGAGGAAGAAGAAACACUGAGAAAGAAUGGAACUGUGGGUGGCAGCUUCAGGGAAAACAUGGAAAGACUGGUGCCUACAUAUCUGCUGUGCUGUUGCACUACCACCACUGCACUGCCACUGUGGUUUCAACUCAAAAUCCUCAUUACCACGCUGCUAUUGGACAACUUUUGAGUGAUUCUCUUGUCCUUUUCUUCCUUAUUUUAUUGGGGAGCUGAUAAAUUACUUCGGUACUACUAUUGACCUUUUCGAAAAAUGACAAAACUUAGGUGCUAUUAUUUUACAAUAUUGCUACCAGAUUUUUAAUGAUUUUUUUACUUGGGAAAUCAUGUUAUCAUACGAAUGGUAACAUUCACCCAUGUGUCAUGGGAUUAUUUGAGAACUUUUUAAGAACACUUUGUAUUUAUUCAGAAGAUGGAAAAGAUUUAUCCCUAUGUUAGAAAACGAACGUAUGGUAAGCUGUAUUAUUUAAUUGCAAGGUAUGAAUUGGAUAACUCAUUUUUGGCA
Prosopis cineraria is the source of this 8552-nucleotide long non-coding RNA. RefSeq lists it as uncharacterized. NCBI's taxonomy places the organism in Eukaryota, Viridiplantae, Streptophyta, Magnoliopsida, Fabales, Fabaceae. The transcript has 2 exons. The record is from RefSeq and is a predicted model, not a curated record.